GCCGGAGCAGAAACUGGGCGCCUAGGCGCCAUGUCCAGGCGCCUAGGCGCCCCGAAUGCAGAAGGGAAGCAGAAUAUUGGCGCCUAGGCGCCACUUCCAUGGCGCCUAGGCGCCCCGGCAUGUAUAUAUAUAUGCAUUUUUUCCCUCUUUCAUAACACAACAUACACAACCCAAGACNAGCAUUGUGGCUAUGGGGUCUUCUAGAUGAUUUGGGGAUUGAGCAGGAUUGUGUGGACUUGUGGUGUGAUAGCCAGAGUGCGAUUCACUUGGCUAAGAAUCAGGUUCAUCAUGCUCGAACCAAGCAUAUUGACGUCAGGUAUCAUUUUGUGCGUGAUGUUAUAGAGGAAGGUGACAUUUCACUCUCGAAGGUGCACACAAAUGAGAACCCAGCUGACAUGUUAACCAAAGUUGUGACGGGUAGCAAGUUUCAACAUUGCUUGGACUUGCUUCACAUUAGUCCGUGUUGAUAUGCCCGAGAGGGCAUGGCCCUUCGGGGCGAGGUUGAAAUGAGGUAGAGUAUAUGAAGGUGGAGGUGAACUACGGAGGCUUGAUCCCGAGUUUUGGGUACGUAGGCAAUCAUGGUUUGAAUGAUGCAGCCGAGUUUUUUGGUGCUUGUUUCUUCUUCUUGUGUUCGUCCAAAAUUUGAGGUCUAUCAAAUGAUGUACGAGGUGGAGAAUUGUGAGAAAGAGGGAAGCAAGAAGAGAAGAAAGGGAAGAGAAGGCAAGCAGCGCCUAGGCGCUGCAUGGACAGCGCCUAGGCGCUGCCCAGUUUCUGCCGGAGCAGAAACUGGGCGCCUAGGCGCCAUGUCCAGGCGCCUAGGCGCCCCGAAUGCAGAAGGGAAGCAGAAUAUUGGCGCCUAGGCGCCACUUCCAUGGCGCCUAGGCGCCCCGGCAUGUAUAUAUAUAUGCAUUUUUUCCCUCUUUCAUAAU
RNAcentral lists this long non-coding RNA (929 nucleotides) under Olea europaea subsp. europaea. Lineage: Eukaryota; Viridiplantae; Streptophyta; Magnoliopsida; Lamiales; Oleaceae. The record is from RNAcentral.